Molecule: ribosomal RNA, 439 nt
Filed under: uncultured bacterium
Lineage: Bacteria
Description: partial 16S ribosomal RNA
Rfam family: Bacterial small subunit ribosomal RNA
Source: RNAcentral
CUACGGGUUGCUGCAGUGAGGAAUAUUGCACAAUGGGGGAAACCCUGAUGCAGCAACGCCGCGUGGAGGAUGACGCAUUUCGGUGUGUAAACUCCUUUUAUAUGUCAAGAAAAUGACGGUAGCAUAUGAAUAAGCACCGGCUAACUCCGUGCCAGCAGCCGCGGUAAUACGGAGGAUGCAAGCGUUAUUCGGAAUCACUGGGCGUAAAGGACGCGUAGGCGGGUUAUCAAGUCAGGUGUGAAAUCCUACAGCUUAACUGUAGAACUGCACUUGAAACUGGUAGCCUAGAGUAUGGGAGGGGCAGAUGGAAUUAGUGGUGUAGGGGUAAAAUCCGUAGAUAUCACUAGGAAUACCGAAAGCGAAGGCGAUCUGCUGGAACAUUACUGACGCUAAGGCGUGAAAGCGUGGGGAGCAAACAGGAUUAGAUACCCGAGUAGUC